This 178-nucleotide unclassified non-coding RNA is filed under the name uncultured fungus. RNAcentral's name for it is "sequence contains ITS1, 5.8S rRNA gene". The record is from RNAcentral. Lineage: Eukaryota; Fungi.
UCGAGUUUUGCCGAGUAAGACGGCAUUCUCUUCACCCUUUGUUAACUAAAACGUUGCUUCGGCGAGCCGCAGACGUUGCGCGUCUGCCGUCGGUUUUUUCGAAAACGGGCGAGCGCUUGCCGAAAUUUUCUAGACCCGUUUUAUUGUAGUCUGAAAUUGGUGGGCGAGAAUUUAAUCA